GCUGAUGAGAACCGACAAAAAAUAACAGCAAAAGCAAAGACUUCCACAUCAGAAGUGAAAGGAUAUCUUAUCCAGGAGGACCACACUCUUGCUCUACCCCUCCUGCAGCUUGAUCAGAU
RNAcentral lists this long non-coding RNA (119 nucleotides) under Phasianus colchicus (ring-necked pheasant). Its description in RNAcentral is "lncRNA (ENSPCLG00000003756.1)". Lineage: Eukaryota; Metazoa; Chordata; Aves; Galliformes; Phasianidae. The record is from RNAcentral.